CGUAGGGCAAGCGUUGUCCGGAAUUAUUGGGCGUAAAGCGCUCGCAGGUGGUCUUUAAGUCUGAUGUGAAAGCCCACGGCUUAACCGUGGAGGGUCAUUGGAAACUGGAGGACUUGAGUGCAGAAGAGGAGAGUGGAAUUCCACGUGUAGCGGUGAAAUGCGUAGAGAUGUGGAGGAACACCAGUGGCGAAGGCGACUCUCUGGUCUGUAACUGACGCUGAGGAGCGAAAGCGUGGGAGCGAACAGGAUU
RNAcentral lists this ribosomal RNA (250 nucleotides) under uncultured bacterium. Its description in RNAcentral is "partial 16S ribosomal RNA". It matches the Rfam family "Bacterial small subunit ribosomal RNA", at positions 528 to 779 of the family's 1533-position model. The record is from RNAcentral.